RNAcentral lists this ribosomal RNA (775 nucleotides) under uncultured bacterium. RNAcentral's name for it is "bacterial SSU rRNA". It matches the Rfam family "Bacterial small subunit ribosomal RNA", at positions 1 to 816 of the family's 1533-position model. The record is from RNAcentral.
UUCGCCGAUUGCCUUGAGUUGAUCAUGGCUCAGAACGAACGCUGGCGGCAUGCCUAACACAUGCAAGUCGAACGAGACCUUCGGGUCUAGUGGCGCACGGGUGCGUAACGCGUGGGAAUCUGCCCUCUGGUACGGAAUAACUCAGGGAAACUUGAGCUAAUACCGUAUAAUGACUUCGGUCCAAAGAUUUAUCGCCUGAGGAUGAGCCCGCGUCGGAUUAGCUAGUUGGUGAGGUAAAAGCUCACCAAGGCGACGAUCCGUAGCUGGUCUGAGAGGAUGAUCAGCCACACUGGGACUGAGACACGGCCCAGACUCCUACGGGAGGCAGCAGUGGGGAAUAUUGGACAAUGGGGGAAACCCUGAUCCAGCAAUGCCGCGUGAGUGAUGAAGGCCUUAGGGUUGUAAAGCUCUUUUACCCGGGAUGAUAAUGACAGUACCGGGAGAAUAAGCCCCGGCUAACUCCGUGCCAGCAGCCGCGGUAAUACGGAGGGGGCUAGCGUUGUUCGGAAUUACUGGGCGUAAAGCGCACGUAGGCGGCUUUGUAAGUUAGAGGUGAAAGCCCGGGGCUCAACUCCGGAAUUGCCUUUAAGACUGCAUCGCUAGAAUUGUGGAGAGGUAAGUGGAAUUCCGAGUGUAGAGGUGAAAUUCGUAGAUAUUCGGAAGAACACCAGUGGCGAAGGCGACUUACUGGACACAUAUUGACGCUGAGGUGCGAAAGCGUGNGGAGCAAACAGGAUUAGAUACCCUGGUAGUCCACGCCGUAAACGAUGAUGAC